GAUGAACGCUGGCGGCGUGCCUAAUACAUGCAAGUCGAGCGAACAGACGAGGAGCUUGCUCCUCUGACGUUAGCGGCGGACGGGUGAGUAACACGUGGAUAACCUACCUAUAAGACUGGGAUAACUUCGGGAAACCGUAGCUAAUACCGGAUAAUAUAUUGAACCGCAUGGUUCAAUAGUGAAAGACGGUCUUGCUGUCACUUAUAGAUGGAUCCGCGCCGCAUUAGCUAGUUGGUAAGGUAACGGCUUACCAAGGCGACGAUGCGUAGCCGACCUGAGAGGGUGAUCGGCCACACUGGAACUGAGACACGGUCCAGACUCCUACGGGAGGCAGCAGUAGGGAAUCUUCCGCAAUGGGCGAAAGCCUGACGGAGCAACGCCGCGUGAGUGAUGAAGGUCUUCGGAUCGUAAAACUCUGUUAUUAGGGAAGAACAAAUGUGUAAGUAACUAUGCACGUCUUGACGGUACCUAAUCAGAAAGCCACGGCUAACUACGUG
Molecule: ribosomal RNA, 497 nt
Filed under: uncultured bacterium
Lineage: Bacteria
Description: partial 16S ribosomal RNA
Rfam family: Bacterial small subunit ribosomal RNA
Source: RNAcentral